GCCUCGGGGUUCUGCGGGGCAGCGGGGAGAUGCUCGCGUAACCACUUGGAUCUCCUGCCUCAGAUGGAAGCAAGCUUCCUUGUGAUGUUCCAGAAGGGAGUGUACCAGCAGAAAAUACCGUGACACUUCCUAUACCACGAGCUGGAGGGUGGACCAGAAUUUAUUCCCCACCUCUCAGGACGUAGCCUGUAUUUCCAACAGGGCCAGCCAUGAUGCUGCUUCGCGUCUUCCUGACCUGGACUGGCCAUGUUCUUGCCAGAGAAAGAAAUGGAGUCGUUUUACUCCUCAUCUCCGAAGUUAUGUACACCAGCAUCACCCGCUACAGAAAUUACAUGGCGACGAGCUCAAAGGGUAAUUUAUGGAGCAUGGACAGUCCUCCCUGAUGAAGGCGCAAGGACCCAGCACAGAAGCAACUGGACACUAACCUUCCCUUGCGAGCCACCAGGCCAGCCUCAAGUUCUAGUUGCCAGCCAUGACACGGAUUUUCCUCCAAGACUUCAAGCGCAUGUGGCUUACAUCAACGUGGUCUCGCACCCACGCUCCACGGAGACCACUUGCCUCGCACAUUCUCCUACUUACACAUGUUCACUGAACGUAACCCCAAGUGAAUUAUUUAAGAAGUCUUAAUGUGCUUCAGACUUCCCAAAUAGAAUUUCGACCUUAAAUUAAAUGCGUACUCCCGUGGGAAACCGGGAGGAGGAACUCAGCCCACGGCAUCAGGUGAACAGGCGGCGGCCCCAGAAGAGAAUUUCAGUUUACCUCUGGAAGGAUCUCAUCUGCUGGCCCAGGCUCCGUGUUGAACGGAACAGGAUUCGACUGCAAAACUGCAUUUGUUAUAGCGGAGCCGACUGCACGCAAGAGAUUUAUCUUUAUAUAUUUAUAUAUUUAUAAAGAUAAUCUUGCUUUUUGGUUUGUCCCUCAAUGGCCUUCCAAGGAAGCACCCGAGCCACCAGAGCUGGGUCACAGCAUAGACGAGAACACACAGCCCUGUUCCUUAGUUUUGAGGUUUGGGUUUCUUUUUUUAAAUAAAUCCGAAUAUUCUUUGUCCCUUGUGUUCAGUUGCCAAUAACUGUACAUAUGAGGUGUUAAAUUUGAUAUAGGGAUUAGAGUGGAGAAAAGCCACAUGCAUUUUACUUAACACAGUUUUGGGUUUUUUGUUUGUUUGUUCCUUUACAGUAAGCAUUGCCCACUGGGAACAAUGCAGCAGAACAAGGACAGGGAAAUUCUCUCAACAUGCACUAGUGAUAAUGAAAGCAAACCACUUACAAGGGAGCACAGACAAGGAGUUUGCUGCAGACCAGGGACUGGAGCUGAAAACAAAUUUCUUAUUCAGGGAAAUGUGAAUGAGUAAGAACCUACAGUGAGGUUUUUUUUUUUUACUUUGCAUAAAAAUUAAAUUAAAUCUGAACUCUAAAGCAUGCAUAUGGUAAAGAGCUAAGUUAUUCAAAGACACAUCACACAUAGCACGUUGAUAAUACCAAGUAGCAUAUGAACGACACGACUGACUUUGUAAGACUUUGCCAUGAACUUGAGUGUUACCUAAAGAGGGAGAGGCCUUGUUAGAUGAACCCGCCAUUACCAAAUUGUGUGAAUACGUGCUCUUGAAAGUUAAUCCUGCAGCAAUCCACCUCACAGAUGUUCUUUCUUUCCCAGGGAUAGCAGCACCUCAAGAAUGCUAUUCUUCCAAAUGAUAAAUUGCAUUAUUCUCAAGAAACUGUCUGCAUGCAAAACAAGAAAUCUGUCAUCAUCCUGGAAUUAUAUUUAAACAGGGAAUAUUCGAGGAAGAUUUUUACUCAUGAAGUUGUCAGAGCAUGAUUCCAAUAAAAGCAGCACCACGCGUUACCAGGCAUGCAAAGCUUCUGCCUGAAAGUAUUUACUUUGUUCUUUAAAAGUAUGUAGUGAGUCAACAGGAAAUUAUAUAUACAUCUUCCCUCCAAUUAGAAAACUGCAAAUUGAGUACUAAAUAUGUCAUGCUAGCACUCAAUUUUUUAUUGCUAUCAUAUCUGGCUCGACAGUGAUAUGCUGGGUAAGAUCCAAAGGAGACACCAAGUAACAAAAUUCUACUCCUGUGUCGAGUUAUAUAAUGGAUUUCAUGGUUACUGAUUAUAUUAAAUAUGAUCCCCUAGCCUAAGAUUCUAAACCUGCACUGUCUAAUCAUACAACAACCACUAGCCACGUGUGGCCACUGAGCCCUUGAAAUAUGGUCACUCCAGACUGAGAUGUGUUGUAAGUGCAAACUCCACACUGGAGUUUGAAGAUUUAAUA
Non-coding RNA from Leptonychotes weddellii (Weddell seal), 2265 nucleotides. NCBI's taxonomy places the organism in Eukaryota, Metazoa, Chordata, Mammalia, Carnivora, Phocidae. The record is from RefSeq and is a predicted model, not a curated record.